UAUCUUUAUUCUUUAUAUGUUACAUGCAUUCCCCUGCAGUAGUGAAAAGUAAAUUGUUUGUUUUAUUUCAGUGUCGACAGCUCAAACUAUGGUGGUAUCUUAUCGCUACAAUGCUGCUAACUAGACUCUUGGAUGAAGUUAAGUUGUUUUAGUCAGAUGAUCUACUUUUUGGCGUUUCCUACUGCCCUAGUUAUAGUAGUUCAAGGUUUAACUGUAAAUAUAGUGUUAAGUAGGUUUCAAUACUUCCCUGCCACCUUUUCAGACAUUGCAGAGAUGUGUGACCGCACAAUUCUCAAACCGAAGAAUCAAAAGGAGUUAUUGAUUUAUCGGUAUAUAAAGUAUGUAUGCUUUAUCAAACAAAGCCACUAGGUAUUCGUGACACAGUUUACGUGUGAUGACGUGGGCAUCUCUCAACACACUUUGCAGCAUGAGCGACGGUGCCGUGGCGGGAUAUCUGGAAAUGUAGCCUUGAGCUCAGUUUAUUUUUCUCCGUCACCUCACCCGGGGAGGGGGGGGGGGGAGCCAAUGACUUUGGGUACUUUGGGGACAAGUGCAGAAUUUCGCCAGCAAUUUAACCUCAAGUCUCCAAGAUUUUUAGCCCCCAUUGGUACCCAAAAGUCUCCUUUAGAAGUCAUUUAAUAAAA
Long non-coding RNA from Bolinopsis microptera, 644 nucleotides. RefSeq lists it as uncharacterized. The transcript is spliced from 2 exons. NCBI's taxonomy places the organism in Eukaryota, Metazoa, Ctenophora, Tentaculata, Lobata, Bolinopsidae. The record is from RefSeq and is a predicted model, not a curated record.